AUGGGACAGUCUCAAACUCCAUGUUCCCCCAGACCCAGGGCCCAUCCUGGCACCCAGCCCACAGUGGGCCCUGAGGAAGCAUGGACCUCCGGGGUAGCCAGAAUCCAUUCCUUCCCAUGUCAAGCCCUGUGCUGGGCCCACCCAGCCUCUUCUGUCCUGGGGAAAUCACCCCAGGGCUGGGGACCUGGCCCCAGGGCCCUCAUGGGAUGUUGUCACCAGGACCAAAAGCUGGGAGACCCAGAGCCAGAGAAUUAGGCUGAGAAUUGGGAGACAGAGCCUUCUUGGGACAGGUGACCUGUGAGUUGGGCCUUGCCAGAUGAGCAGCAGAGGAGGGGCCUUGUACCAGCUGCCGUAUUCCCCAUAGGGGGCGCUGUCCCGGCGCUUAUCCUGGAGGAAAGAAUGGUCACAAGAAAGAUGAGCAGAACAGACCCUUGCACCUCAGGCCACAGCCCAAGACAUGUGCUAGGCCUGAAUGAUGGGCCAGGCUCCGAGGGACUCAGGAGCAGAUGACUGACCAUCCGGGGCCAGAGGUGGUUUCCCAGAGUGGGAGACACUGGGGCAGGCCCUCAAGGACUGCCAGGUUGUUUAGUGUCGCAGCCACCUGGAGGUGGGAGAACGGAAGCUUCUUGACUCAGGCCCUGCAGGACUCUGGGACCUGCAGGGGAUGGGGCACAGCCCCCACCUCCCACCCAACCCUCACUCACGGCUGGGUGGUCCUUGCCCAGUGUUUUCUCCCGGAUGGCCAGAGCAUCAUUGAGCAGGCCUCCUUGCUGGGCAACAGUGACCAUGGUAGGAGCUCACGUUAGGGGAGGCGUCUUCAUCCAACUUGCGGAUCUGGCUCAUGAACA
RNAcentral lists this long non-coding RNA (848 nucleotides) under Homo sapiens (human). RNAcentral's name for it is "HSALNT0363384". Lineage: Eukaryota; Metazoa; Chordata; Mammalia; Primates; Hominidae. The record is from RNAcentral.